This 403-nucleotide ribosomal RNA is filed under the name uncultured bacterium. RNAcentral describes it as "bacterial SSU rRNA". It matches the Rfam family "Bacterial small subunit ribosomal RNA", at positions 356 to 773 of the family's 1533-position model. The record is from RNAcentral.
GGGGAAUAUUGCGCAAUGGGGGGAACCCUGACGCAGCAACGCCGCGUGAAGGAUGAAGGUUUUCGGAUUGUAAACUUCUUUGAUGAGGGACGAAAGAAAUGACGGUACCUCAAAAACAAGCCACGGCUAACUACGUGCCAGCAGCCGCGGUAAUACGUAGGUGGCGAGCGUUGUCCGGAAUUACUGGGUGUAAAGGGCGUGUAGGCGGGGAGACAAGUCAGAUGUGAAAUACCGAGGCUUAACUUCGGGGCUGCAUCUGAAACUGUUUUUCUUGAGUGUCGGAGAGGAAAGUGGAAUUCCCAGUGUAGCGGUGAAAUGCGUAGAUAUUGGGAGGAACACCAGUGGCGAAGGCGACUUUCUGGACGAUAACUGACGCUGAGGCGCGAAAGCGUGGGGAGCAAAC